Molecule: ribosomal RNA, 497 nt
Filed under: uncultured bacterium
Lineage: Bacteria
Description: partial 16S ribosomal RNA
Rfam family: Bacterial small subunit ribosomal RNA
Source: RNAcentral
GAUGAACGCUGGCGGCGUGCCUAAUACAUGCAAGUCGAGCGAACGGACGAGAAGCUUGCUUCUCUGAUGUUAGCGGCGGACGGGUGAGUAACACGUGGAUAACCUACCUAUAAGACUGGGAUAACUUCGGGAAACCGUAGCUAAUACCGGAUAAUAUUUUGAACCGCAUGGUUCAAAAGUGAAAGACGGUCUUGCUGUCACUUAUAGAUGGAUCCGCGCUGCAUUAGCUAGUUGGUAAGGUAACGGCUUACCAAGGCAACGAUGCAUAGCCGACCUGAGAGGGUGAUCGGCCACACUGGAACUGACACACGGUCCAGACUCCUACGGGAGGCAGCAGUAGGGAAUCUUCCGCAAUGGGCGAAAGCCUGACGGAGCAACGCCGCGUGAGUGAUGAAGGUCUUCGGAUCGUAAAACUCUGUUAUUAGGGAAGAACAUAUGUGUAAGUAACUGUGCACAUCUUGACGGUACCUAAUCAGAAAGCCACGGCUAACUACGUG